RNAcentral lists this microRNA (21 nucleotides) under Rattus norvegicus (Norway rat). Its description in RNAcentral is "Rno-Mir-3112_5p (mature (guide))". Lineage: Eukaryota; Metazoa; Chordata; Mammalia; Rodentia; Muridae. The record is from RNAcentral.
ACAUAGAAAAGACAGUCUGCA